This 68-nucleotide transfer RNA is filed under the name uncultured Succinimonas sp. It matches the Rfam family "tRNA". From Rfam's summary of the family: Transfer RNA (tRNA) molecules are approximately 80 nucleotides in length. Lineage: Bacteria; Pseudomonadati; Pseudomonadota; Gammaproteobacteria; Aeromonadales; Succinivibrionaceae. The record is from RNAcentral.
ACUUUAGCUCAGUCGGUAGAGCAGCUGUUUCGUAAACAGUUGGUCGCAGGUUCGAUUCCUGUAAGUGG